AGUUAUAAUGAUCUGAUUGAAAUGUAAUAUACACAAGUAUUAACCCAUGAUAUUCUAAUGCAAAAAUGUUAUAGAUUGGGUUCUCUUUUUUUGAUGUUGGUUAUAUAGAAAUAUGUACGUAAAUGUCAUCGUCGUUAGUUUCGCUGUUGCAUAAUAAUAUUAUUGGAUAUCUUUGAUUCUUGCAGGAUAAUGAAAGCAUAUUUAAUUCAGAUUAUCAGACUCAAUCGGAUACCAGUACAAAUAAUAUGGAAAAUGAAGAUACAAUACAUGGAAGACGAAUUAUAGAUUUUAGUUUUUUUAUAAAUCAAUUACUUAUACCUAAUUGAUAAACAUGGUGAAAAGUUUGGUUGUCGAUUAAAUAAUUUAAAAAUUGUAAACGAUUAUUUGUUUAUUGUAACUCAAUCGAGCUAUUCUAGGUUAUAAAAUUCAUCGGUACAAAUAAUAUUUCAUAAACUAUAAAACCAAUAAACUAUUUCGAAAAUAAAAGUGGCAAAGUCUCAAGUUUGUUUGUGCCGCGUGGCGGUCCGCAGGUGUGCGUUGCGUAUUUCACUAGACGCACACGCGCGCAAGUGCUGCCGGCUAUCGUCUAAUUUACCUAAACCUGAGCGAUUCGAUUUUGUAAUAGCGCUCUUAAGCAU
This is a long non-coding RNA of Helicoverpa armigera (cotton bollworm), 638 nucleotides long. RefSeq lists it as uncharacterized. Lineage: Eukaryota; Metazoa; Arthropoda; Insecta; Lepidoptera; Noctuidae. The record is from RefSeq and is a predicted model, not a curated record. The transcript is spliced from 2 exons.